RNAcentral lists this ribosomal RNA (253 nucleotides) under uncultured bacterium. RNAcentral's name for it is "partial 16S ribosomal RNA". It matches the Rfam family "Bacterial small subunit ribosomal RNA", at positions 524 to 776 of the family's 1533-position model. The record is from RNAcentral.
UACGUAGGUGGCAAGCGAUACUCGGAAUCACUAGGCGUAAAGCGCAGGUAGGCGGUUUGGUAAGUCUUUUGUGAAAGCUCCCGGCUUAACUGGGAGAGGUCAAGGGAAACUACCGGACUAGAGUGUGGUAGGGGAUACUGGAAUUCCUGGUGUAGCGGUGAAAUGCGUAGAUAUCAGGAGGAACACCAGUGGCGAAAGCGGCCACCUGGACUGCACCUGACGCUGAAACGCGAAAGCUAGGGGAGCGAACGGG